Molecule: long non-coding RNA, 274 nt
Organism: Lepus europaeus (European hare)
Lineage: Eukaryota; Metazoa; Chordata; Mammalia; Lagomorpha; Leporidae
Exons: 3
Source: RefSeq, a predicted model, not a curated record
GUGACCUUUAAUCUAUGCAGUCUGCCACCUUGGCCUGCGACUGGGAAGAACUCAAGAAGUGCACAGAAAACACCGUUAAGAAAAGAGUCAACAGAUCUUCCGAGCACGAAGAUCGUACACACUGCUCCAUGCAAGUGUAAGCAGAAGAUCUAAUGUUUGGCCAUUCUACAUUGAAAGGUCUGAAGAAAACUGUAACGUUUGGCUUAAACCCAUCAGGGUUUCUCCUAGACUUUCAGAAGCCAUUGAAAAGGAACAUUUUACAAAAAGAAAAAGA